This 289-nucleotide signal recognition particle RNA is filed under the name Microcebus murinus (gray mouse lemur). RNAcentral's name for it is "Metazoan signal recognition particle RNA (ENSMICG00000030359.2)". It matches the Rfam family "Metazoan signal recognition particle RNA". From Rfam's summary of the family: The signal recognition particle (SRP) is a universally conserved ribonucleoprotein. It is involved in the co-translational targeting of proteins to membranes. The record is from RNAcentral. Lineage: Eukaryota; Metazoa; Chordata; Mammalia; Primates; Cheirogaleidae.
GCUGGGCAUGAAGGUGCACACCUGUAUCCCAGCGACUUGGGAGACGGGGAUUGAGCAGGGGGAUUGAGCCUGAGUUCUGGGCUAUGGUGCACGAUGCCCAUUGGGUGUCCCGGUAAGUUUGACAUCAAUAUGGCGACCUCCCAGGAGCGGGAGACCACCAGGUUGCCUAAGGAGAGGUGAACUGGCCUGGCUCAGAAAUGGAGCAGGUCAAAACUUUCUGCCUAUCCAUACUGGGACUGUGCUUGUGAAAAGCCACUGCUCGCCAGCCUUGGCAACACAGCAAGACCCU